GUCUCCGGACAUAUCAGCCUGAAGGCACUAGAUCUUGUCUGCUCUCAGAAGUUAAGCAGGGUCGGGCCUGGUUAGUAUCUUGGAUGGGAGACCACCUGGGAAUCCCGGGUGCUCGAGACU
Molecule: ribosomal RNA, 120 nt
Filed under: Bos grunniens (domestic yak)
Lineage: Eukaryota; Metazoa; Chordata; Mammalia; Artiodactyla; Bovidae
Source: RNAcentral